GAGGCGGACAGUGGCUCCGAUUCUUUGCAAUUCGAGGACUGUGAAGGAUUUUUGAUUGGCAAUUUUAAAUAGUGUUGGGAGAAUAAACAAAUAGAGA
Molecule: non-coding RNA, 97 nt
Organism: Caenorhabditis elegans
Lineage: Eukaryota; Metazoa; Nematoda; Chromadorea; Rhabditida; Rhabditidae
Source: Ensembl